This 490-nucleotide ribosomal RNA is filed under the name uncultured bacterium. RNAcentral's name for it is "partial 16S ribosomal RNA". It matches the Rfam family "Bacterial small subunit ribosomal RNA", at positions 29 to 507 of the family's 1533-position model. The record is from RNAcentral.
AAUGAACGCUGGCGGCAUGCCUUACACAUGCAAGUCGAACGGCAGCAUGACCUAGCUUGCUAGGUUGAUGGCGAGUGGCGAACGGGUGAGUAAUGCAUCGGAACGUGCCUUUUAGUGGGGGAUAACGUAGCGAAAGUUACGCUAAUACCGCAUAUUCUCUGAGGAGGAAAGCGGGGGACCUUCGGGCCUUGCGCUAGAAGAGCGGCCGAUGUCGGAUUAGCUAGUUGGUGAGGUAAAGGCUCACCAAGGCAACGAUCCGUAGCGGGUCUGAGAGGAUGAUGCGCCACACUGGGACUGAGACACGGCCCAGACUCCUACGGGAGGCAGCAGUGGGGAAUUUUGGACAAAGGGCGCAAGCCUGAUCCAGCCAUGCCGCGUGAGUGAAGAAGGCCUUCGGGUUGUAAAGCUCUUUCGGCUGGGAAGAAAUCGCACCCUCUAAUACAGGGUGUGGAUGACGGUACCAGCAUAAGAAGCACCGGCUAACUACGUG